RNAcentral lists this ribosomal RNA (465 nucleotides) under uncultured bacterium. RNAcentral's name for it is "partial 16S ribosomal RNA". It matches the Rfam family "Bacterial small subunit ribosomal RNA", at positions 28 to 507 of the family's 1533-position model. The record is from RNAcentral.
GACGAACGCUGGCGGCGUGCUUAACACAUGCAAGUCGAACGGAAAGGCCCUGCUUGCAGGGUACUCGAGUGGCGAACGGGUGAGUAACACGUGGGUGAUCUGCCCUGCACUUCGGGAUAAGCCUGGGAAACUGGGUCUAAUACCGGCUAGGAGCCAUUUUUAGUGUGAUGGUUGGAAAGUUUAUUCGGUGUAGGAUGAGCUCGCGGCCUAUCAGCUUGUUGGUGGGGUAAUGGCCUACCAAGGCGGCGGCGGGUAGCCGGCCUGAGAGGGUGGACGGCCACAUUGGGACUGAGAUGCGGCCCAGACUCCUACGGGAGGCAGCAGGGGGGAAUAUUGCACAAUGGGCGCAAGCCUGAUGCAGCGACGCCGCGUGGGGUAUGACGGCCUUCGGGUUGUAAACUCCUUUCGCUAGGGACGAAGCUUUUUGUGACGGUACCUAGACAAGAAGCACCGGCUAACUACGUG